AAAAAUAGAAGAGGAUCUCCGAAGCAAACUAACCAUUUUUUUUGUGGCUUCAUAGAAACCAAACUGUGUUUAGAGAGGGAUCGAAGGAUGCAACAAAGUUUUUUGAUCUAGCUCAGUUGCAUUCUCGGAAUUGGUUGAAGGCAAGCUCCAAAAGCUUUCAUUGUUCUCUAUAUGAGUGGAUUGUGAACCCAACCUAUUGCCUUCGGAAUUUAUAGCUGUAUGUUUUGUGACCCUCUUCUGUAGUUGGUUGCGGGUUGCAGCAAUUUUGAGACUGCGUUGUCAAUUUGAGACUUGGUUGCCGCUGAUUCAAUUAGGAUUUUGGAUGUCUUGUUUGCUUCGUGGUGGGGAUCCUUGCCGUCUGCUGGUUUUGUUCUGUUAGAAGCAGUAGCAGGACUUCUCUUUUGUUCCCUUCUCCUUUUCUUUUCUCCUAUGUACUGGCUUCUUUGUGCAAGGUUGGAGGACCUCUAGUAUCCCCUUUUGUUAAAUCUUUUUCUUAUAAAAAAACAAUGAAGGAUACACAUCAGCAAAAAUUAUAAAAUGAAAAUUUACAUAGAGAAAACCAAAUGAAAAUGCUUAAAUAGAGGAAACCAAAUUUACAGGAUAAUAUCUUAUGAUUCAUGUGAUUGUUUUGAAUGUGGUUGGAAGCUCUUAUUUUAAUGGUUGGAAGCUUCGAUUCGGUGGUCGCACGCUCUGAUUCACCCCGUUCUGGUGGUAAGUGGGCUAUCGCUCCGAUCGGGAUGAAACCUUUGAUCUGUGGGAGAAGGUUUAGAAUGGGUGGGGAAAGGGAGAAAUGAGGAGUCUUGGAGGUGAGAAAGGGGUGGUGGUCGCUGCUGAAAAGAGAGAAUGCAUAGAAGGAGAGUGAGGUAGUGGCCACCAUUGGGUUUGGG
Molecule: long non-coding RNA, 887 nt
Filed under: Lotus japonicus
Lineage: Eukaryota; Viridiplantae; Streptophyta; Magnoliopsida; Fabales; Fabaceae
Description: long non-coding RNA (LJAP_LNC001644)
Source: RNAcentral